GGAAGCAUGACCCUCAGGCUACGUGAAGGUUUAGGAGUGGCAACAAGCAAUCAUGCUGAAUACAGGGCAUUUAUUUUGGGUUUGAAACAUGCUCUUAGAGAAGGGUUUACUAGUAUUCGUGUUCAAGGUGACUCCAAGCUUGUUUGUAUGCAGAUCCAAGGUCUGUGGAAGGUUAAAAAUCAAAACAUCGCCAUGGUGUUUGAGCAGGCAAAACAAUUGAAGGAAAGGUUCCUUUCUUUCCGCAUCAUUCAUGUCCUUCGGGAAUCAAACUCUGAUGCAGAUCAGCAAGCAAACUUGGCUGUUGAACUUCCAGAGGGUCAAAUUCAAGAGGAGGUAGAGAAGUAACAAAACCACACUGAUGGUUUUCGCGUACAUUACAGACAAGGAUUUAUUUAUACACCCAAUUUGAAGGUUUGUGCUAUGAAGCCAGUGAAUC
Molecule: unclassified non-coding RNA, 436 nt
Filed under: Hevea brasiliensis (rubber tree)
Lineage: Eukaryota; Viridiplantae; Streptophyta; Magnoliopsida; Malpighiales; Euphorbiaceae
Source: RNAcentral